ACCGCAUGGUUAGUAGGCGGAGCUCCCCCGCGGAAUUUCUGUCCACACGUGGUGUCGUUUCACAUUCAUUUCUUCGCGCGGGCACGAAUGGAACACGGACAAAAUGGAGGACAACAGGGAACAAGCUACCAUGGAUGAGAAGCUUAUACUGAAGGGGAGAAAGUAGCGAUUAACGAAUGACUUCAGAGGAAUGCGAUCCCGCUGGCAGUGAAGCGUCAAAUCCAAGUUACCUGCGACUGGAGGCGAGGGGCUACACUGGACUGAAGAAAGGAUGGAAUACUGAUAAGCCGACGGCCAUAGGGGAAUCCAUGGUGUGACAGCAAGACAGUCUCCUAAUCAAAUGUUUUUGCUCUUGAUGAGGGUGAAAGGAACUUCCAGGAAACUGUUCAAGGAGGAUGUACUCUGCUGAGCUCACCAAGAUGAUGAGGUAUCGUCAUGGUAACCCCUGACCGGUCGUUGAUACUAAUACAGAGCGUGAGUUGAUGUACAGAAACCACACCAAACAAAUAUUGCUAAAUGUUUCAACAGUCUCGUCGCACAACAAACAUUAAACACAUUUGCAAGGUCUUUCAUCAAAAUCUUAUGUCGGUCUGCAAAUGGAUAAUUUAUUUUCCGGAGAAAAUCUGACAUCUUCACUCUUGUGUUACAUUUGCGAAUCGUUUACCAUUUCAUCUUUUUAUUAUCAGCCAGUUCAAAAAGCAAGGUUAACGCCUUACAAUUUGUAAUUUUAAAGAAACUUAAGAUUUUGGCCAAUUUUGACUUAAAAGCAAGGCUAAUCCAUUAUAAUUUGUAAAU
Long non-coding RNA from Patiria miniata (bat star), 795 nucleotides. RefSeq lists it as uncharacterized. The record is from RefSeq and is a predicted model, not a curated record. The transcript has 4 exons. Lineage: Eukaryota; Metazoa; Echinodermata; Asteroidea; Valvatida; Asterinidae.